CUUGAAUAGUUUAUAGUUUUCUCUUCUUUAUAUCAAAUUAUAACAUUCUUAAAGACAUUCCUAAUUAUACUGAAAAUACGUUUUGAACCUUAAGAGUGAUUGAUUCAUCGGUGUAGACAUGUGCUUCCGAAACACGGUCGGACCAGCACAAGGACCAGCUAUUGCCUUCAGUGUGAGUGGUGAUAUGUCCGUAAGUUACCGAUGUCGUGUCGAGGGAUGCAUUCUAUUUAUAGGGAAUGCUUUAUUAUUAGCACUGUAGAUUUUAUUUGUGAAAACGCGGCGCGGUCUUUCAGAUCUGCCUAAUUGUAGCAAGACAGCCUACGAGGGGGCAUAGCAAUGGCAUUACCGCCCAGUCACGCACAAUAUGGACGAUAACUCGGGCUUCUCGAUUUAAAAAUGCAAUAUCACUACGAGUUCAGACCUAGAUCUGGCAACUGUGAAGACAUAUCUUGGUCGACCUUGGAGGAUAUUUUCAACAGCCGCGGUUAUGCAGUCUUUCAUCGGUGUUUUAGUUUAUCCCGCAGGUUGGACUCUUUGGGAAGGAGAAACUUGUGUAUCAACUCUCUACUACCGCGAAUAUCAAAACAGGGUCCGGGAGCUAUGACUAACAAAAAGGUAAAGUGGUCAGGGUUUAGAGCUAUUACAGAUUCUAAAGCGGCUACAAAAUUUACUGUUGCCAAGCUAUUAGAUGGAGAAAUGUGGCUGAAAGCAAGUCGAAUUUCGUACAAACGCGGACUCUCAUGAUAUUUUUCUUCUUAUGCUUCACAUGUAUGAGUUAACAUACU
RNAcentral lists this small RNA (785 nucleotides) under Arabidopsis thaliana (thale cress). RNAcentral describes it as "ATSL031600". The record is from RNAcentral. Lineage: Eukaryota; Viridiplantae; Streptophyta; Magnoliopsida; Brassicales; Brassicaceae.